Molecule: small RNA, 144 nt
Filed under: Corynebacterium pacaense
Lineage: Bacteria; Bacillati; Actinomycetota; Actinomycetes; Mycobacteriales; Corynebacteriaceae
Description: ydaO/yuaA leader
Rfam family: c-di-AMP riboswitch aptamer (ydaO/yuaA leader) (bases 18-144)
About the family: This family represents a conserved RNA structure found upstream of the ydaO and yuaA genes in Bacillus subtilis and related genes in other bacteria. The ydaO/yuaA element is thought to act as a genetic "off" switch for the ydaO and yuaA genes in its native state. It is believed that the element may be triggered during osmotic shock leading to activation of ydaO, a predicted amino acid transporter gene, and members of the yuaA-yubG operon which code for KtrA and KtrB K+ transporters.
Source: RNAcentral
GAAUGCAGACAGGAACGGGGAAACCACCGCCUGGUCCACAGGCACCGGAGGUUCCACUCCUUGGGGUGAAGUCGGAGAAAUCCGACAGAGCAUAUCCUCCGCUCUAACCCGACAGCUAACCUCGACGGCGACAAAUGAGAGGAA